This 460-nucleotide ribosomal RNA is filed under the name uncultured bacterium. RNAcentral describes it as "partial 16S ribosomal RNA". It matches the Rfam family "Bacterial small subunit ribosomal RNA", at positions 338 to 795 of the family's 1533-position model. The record is from RNAcentral.
CCUACGGGAGGCAGCGGUGAGGAAUAUUGGUCAAUGGGCGCGAGCCUGAACCAGCCAAGUAGCGUGAAGGAUGACUGCCCUACGGGUUGUAAACUUCUUUUAUAAAGGAAUAAAGUGAGGCACGUGUGCCUUUUUGUAUGUACUUUAUGAAUAAGGAUCGGCUAACUCCGUGCCAGCAGCCGCGGUAAUACGGAGGAUCCGAGCGUUAUCCGGAUUUGUUGGGUUUAAAGGGAGCGUAGAUGGGUUGUUAAGUUAGUUGUGAAAGUUUGCGGCUCAACCGUAAAAUUGCAAUUGAUACUGGCAGCCUUGAGUACAGUUGAGGUAGGCGGAAUUCGUGGUGUAGCGGUGAAAUGCGUAGAUAUCACGAAGAACACCGAUGGCGAAGGCAGCCUACUAAACUGCCACUGACAUUGAUGCUCGAAAGUGUGGGUAUCAAACAGGAUUAGAUACCCGGGUAGUC